Molecule: transfer RNA, 72 nt
Filed under: Marmota monax (woodchuck)
Lineage: Eukaryota; Metazoa; Chordata; Mammalia; Rodentia; Sciuridae
Rfam family: tRNA
About the family: Transfer RNA (tRNA) molecules are approximately 80 nucleotides in length. Their secondary structure includes four short double-helical elements and three loops (D, anti-codon, and T loops).
Source: Rfam by way of RNAcentral
GGUGUAGUAGCUCAGUGGUAGAGUGUAUAUUUAGAAUGUGGAAGGCCCUGAGUUCAGUCCCCAGCAACAACA